Molecule: ribosomal RNA, 497 nt
Filed under: uncultured bacterium
Lineage: Bacteria
Description: partial 16S ribosomal RNA
Rfam family: Bacterial small subunit ribosomal RNA
Source: RNAcentral
GAUGAACGCUGGCGGCGUGCCUAAUACAUGCAAGUCGAGCGAACAGACGAGGAGCUUGCUCCUCUGACGUUAGCGGCGGACGGGUGAGUAACACGUGGAUAACCUACCUAUAAGACUGGGAUAACUUCGGGAAACCGGAGCUAAUACCGGAUAAUAUAUUGAACCGCAUGGUUCAAUAGUGAAAGACGGUUUUGCUGUCACUUAUAGAUGGAUCCGCGCCGCAUUAGCUAGUUGGUAAGGUAACGGCUUACCAAGGCAACGAUGCGUAGCCGACCUGAGAGGGUGAUCGGCCACACUGGAACUGAGACACGGUCCAGACUCCUACGGGAGGAAGCAGUAGGGAAUCUUCCGCAAUGGGCGAAAGCUUGACGGAGCAACGCCGCGUGAGUGAUGAAGGUCUGCGGAUCGUAAAACUCUGUUAUUAGGGAAGAACAAAUGUGUAAGUAACUAUGCACGUCUUGACGGUACCUAAUCAGAAAGCCACGGCUAACUACGUG